GUUUAAUUCGAUGCAACGCGAAAAACCUUACCCACCUUUGACAUGUACGGAAUUCGCCAGAGAUGGCUUAGUGCUCGAAAGAGAACCGUAACACAGGUGCUGCAUGGCUGUCGUCAGCUCGUGUCGUGAGAUGUUGGGUUAAGUCCCGCAACGAGCGCAACCCUUGUCAUUAGUUGCUACAUUCAGUUGGGCACUCUAAUGAGACUGCCGGUGACAAACCGGAGGAAGGUGGGGAUGACGUCAAGUCCUCAUGGCCCUUAUAGGUGGGGCUACACACGUCAUACAAUGGCUGGUACAAAGGGUUGCCAACCCGCGAGGGGGAGCUAAUCCCAUAAAACCAGUCGUAGUCCGGAUCGCAGUCUGCAACUCGACUGCGUGAAGUCGGAAUCGCUAGUAAUCGUGGAUCAGAAUGUCACGGUGAAUACGUUCCCGGGCCUUGUACACUCCGCC
RNAcentral lists this ribosomal RNA (450 nucleotides) under uncultured beta proteobacterium. Its description in RNAcentral is "bacterial SSU rRNA". It matches the Rfam family "Bacterial small subunit ribosomal RNA", at positions 944 to 1394 of the family's 1533-position model. The record is from RNAcentral. Lineage: Bacteria; Pseudomonadati; Pseudomonadota; Betaproteobacteria.